GGGGACACCUGAGGGAGCAGCAUUCCAGGCAGAGGGCACAGCCCGUGCAAAGGCCCUGGGGCACGACUGUGCCUGGCGUGUUGGAGGAACAGCGAGGAGCCCGCGUGGCUGGAGCAGAGGGAGCGAGGGGGAGAGAGGGAGGAGGGAGGGCAGG
Molecule: non-coding RNA, 154 nt
Organism: Ceratotherium simum simum (southern white rhinoceros)
Lineage: Eukaryota; Metazoa; Chordata; Mammalia; Perissodactyla; Rhinocerotidae
Source: RefSeq, a predicted model, not a curated record